RNAcentral lists this transfer RNA (68 nucleotides) under Marmota monax (woodchuck). Its description in RNAcentral is "tRNA.Undet". Lineage: Eukaryota; Metazoa; Chordata; Mammalia; Rodentia; Sciuridae. The record is from RNAcentral.
GGUUGUAGCUCAGUGGUAGAGCGCUCGCCCUAGCAUGUGCAAGGCCCUGGGUUCAAUCCUCAGCACCA